CGUAGGGUGCAAGCGUUAUCCGGAAUUAUUGGGCGUAAAGAGCUCGUAGGCGGUUUGUCGCGUCUGCUGUGAAAACUGGAGGCUCAACCUCCAGCCUGCAGUGGGUACGGGCAAACUAGAGUGCGGUAGGGGAGAUUGGAAUUCCUGGUGUAGCGGUGGAAUGCGCAGAUAUCAGGAGGAACACCAAUGGCGAAGGCAGAUCUCUGGGCCGUAACUGACGCUGAGGAGCGAAAGCAUGGGGAGCGAACAGGA
Molecule: ribosomal RNA, 252 nt
Filed under: uncultured Microbacteriaceae bacterium
Lineage: Bacteria; Bacillati; Actinomycetota; Actinomycetes; Micrococcales; Microbacteriaceae
Description: partial 16S ribosomal RNA
Rfam family: Bacterial small subunit ribosomal RNA
Source: RNAcentral